CCCCCACUACUGGAAAUAUUUAUGCAAUAUGUAGAUGGGAAGUUUCAUCUAAAAUUGAGAAAAAUAAGAUUAAUCUAUCCAGCAGUCUUCCCCAAACUGCGCAAGAAAAUACAGUUGAAAUACCUUACUUCCAUUGGACCUGGCACGGCGUCUAGGAUUUCCUCUCUCCCAGAUGAAAAUGAAAAAGAAUCCAGGAACAUUAAGAAAGCACCUGAGAAGGAACUUUGUGCUCGAAAGUCACAAUAAUAAUGAGCUGCUGACAGAAAUAUCAUAUGACAAUAACGAAAUUAGCAAUGAACAAAGUGAAAAUGAAGAUGGAAAAUUUAGCACACCAAUAGAAUUACUAGGAGAGCUCCUGAAAGCAAUUUUGAAUGGAAACUACAGUCUCUCAAAAAACCUUUGUCAGAUGAGUAAAUAUUACCUCGAGGGUGAUUACAUUGCAGCUGAGGUAAUCAGACUGACUUCUCUCCAUAGACGUUAC
This 481-nucleotide long non-coding RNA is filed under the name Struthio camelus australis. RNAcentral's name for it is "lncRNA (ENSSCUG00000017422.1)". The record is from RNAcentral. Lineage: Eukaryota; Metazoa; Chordata; Aves; Struthioniformes; Struthionidae.